UCGUCGUUAUUAGGAAAUGAUCGUAUAGGACGUACACACGGAGCCGUUAGGCCCCCCGGAGCGUUUUGUCCGCAUAUCUACCCACCUUGUGAUCCAUUA
This is a long non-coding RNA of Notothenia coriiceps (black rockcod), 99 nucleotides long. RefSeq lists it as uncharacterized. Lineage: Eukaryota; Metazoa; Chordata; Actinopteri; Perciformes; Nototheniidae. The transcript has 3 exons. The record is from RefSeq and is a predicted model, not a curated record.